AGUGGGGAAUAUUGGACAAUGGGCGAAAGCCUGAUCCAGCCAUGCCGCGUGUGUGAAGAAGGUCUUCGGAUUGUAAAGCACUUUAAGUUGGGAGGAAGGGCAGUAAGUUAAUACCUUGCUGUUUUGACGUUACCGACAGAAUAAGCACCGGCUAACUCUGUGCCAGCAGCCGCGGUAAUACAGAGGGUGCAAGCGUUAAUCGGAAUUACUGGGCGUAAAGCGCGCGUAGGUGGUUUGUUAAGUUGGAUGUGAAAGCCCCGGGCUCAACCUGGGAACUGCAUCCAAAACUGGCAAGCUAGAGUACGGUAGAGGGUGGUGGAAUUUCCUGUGUAGCGGUGAAAUGCGUAGAUAUAGGAAGGAACACCAGUGGCGAAGGCGACCACCUGGACUGAUACUGACACUGAGGUGCGAAAGCGUGGGGAGCAAA
This 427-nucleotide ribosomal RNA is filed under the name uncultured Pseudomonas sp. RNAcentral's name for it is "bacterial SSU rRNA". It matches the Rfam family "Bacterial small subunit ribosomal RNA", at positions 353 to 772 of the family's 1533-position model. The record is from RNAcentral. Lineage: Bacteria; Pseudomonadati; Pseudomonadota; Gammaproteobacteria; Pseudomonadales; Pseudomonadaceae.